UUCCUUGUUCUUCCCGCCUAUAUACCACCGUCGUCAGCUUACCCUGUGAAGGUUUAACAGUAAGCAAAACUGGCAAAGCCCAAAACGUCAGGUCGAGGUGUAGCGUAUGGAAGGGGAAGAAAUGGGCUACAUUCACUAACUCAGUGCACACGAAUGACACCCUGAAACACGUGUCUGAAGGAGGAUUUAGCAGUAAGCAGAAAAUAGAGCGUUCUACUGAAACUGGCCCUGAAGCGCGCACACACCGCCCGUCACUCUCCCCGAGCUAAGACUCAUCCAAUAAAUAAACACCUAUAACUGUAAAGGGGAGGCAAGUCGUAACAUGGUAAGUGUACCGGAAGGUGCACUUGGAAAAAC
Molecule: ribosomal RNA, 357 nt
Filed under: Acanthurus olivaceus (orangespot surgeonfish)
Lineage: Eukaryota; Metazoa; Chordata; Actinopteri; Acanthuriformes; Acanthuridae
Description: partial 12S ribosomal RNA
Rfam family: Bacterial small subunit ribosomal RNA
Source: RNAcentral